RNAcentral lists this ribosomal RNA (362 nucleotides) under uncultured bacterium. RNAcentral describes it as "bacterial SSU rRNA". It matches the Rfam family "Bacterial small subunit ribosomal RNA", at positions 335 to 695 of the family's 1533-position model. The record is from RNAcentral.
ACUCCUACGGGAGGCAGCAGUGGGGAAUAUUGCACAAUGGGCGAAAGCCUGAUGCAGCGACGCCGCGUGAGGGACGACGGCCUUCGGUUGUAAACCUCUUUCAGUAGGGAACAAGGCAUCAUUUUUGUUGGUGUUGAGGGUACUUGCAGAAGAAGCACCGGCUAACUACGUGCCAGCAGCCGCGGUAAUACGUAGGGGUGCAAGCGUUAUCCGGAAUUAUUGGGCGUAAAGAGCUCGUAGGCGGUUUGUCGCGUCUGUCGUGAAAGUCCGGGGCUCAACUCCGGAUCUGCGGUGGGUACGGGCAGGACUAGAGUGAUGUAGGGAGGACUGGAAUUCCUGGUGUAGCGGUGGAAUGCGCAGAU